UGUGAGAGAUUUUCUACUUCACAUUUUCUUUUUCUGGAACUGUUUCUGAGACUGUCCCUCGGUCUCCCAGCCUUAGCAGGUCUAAAGAGCAGAGAUGACUCCAAGGUGGGUCUGGCCAGUGUUUCCUCCUGAGCAGAUACAGACCCUGCGUUCCCAGCAGGAACGCCCUCGUUUAUGCUGUGCUCUCUCAGUGUAGCCCACCAGGAGCAGCACAGAUCCCCCACCCCACUGGCGAUCUCAACCUGACGAUGGAAAACACCACUUUACAGACUCAGAUCUCAUCACGUCACUCUCCUGGUUAAAGACUUUGCCGCUGGUUUCCUACUGGCCUUGGAAAAGCAACAGAGGACUGACCAUGGCCUCCAGACACGGAACACUGCUGGCUGCUGCCCUCUCCCGUCAGUUCACCGCAACUGCCUGCAGUGUGCUCUGCUCUCACUUUCAGACCUGAGGCCCCGAGAGCGAGUGAGACCUGUCCAUUCCCAGACCUGAGGCGAC
Long non-coding RNA from Propithecus coquereli (Coquerel's sifaka), 498 nucleotides. RefSeq lists it as uncharacterized. The transcript is spliced from 3 exons. The record is from RefSeq and is a predicted model, not a curated record. NCBI's taxonomy places the organism in Eukaryota, Metazoa, Chordata, Mammalia, Primates, Indriidae.